RNAcentral lists this ribosomal RNA (253 nucleotides) under uncultured bacterium. Its description in RNAcentral is "partial 16S ribosomal RNA". It matches the Rfam family "Bacterial small subunit ribosomal RNA", at positions 524 to 776 of the family's 1533-position model. The record is from RNAcentral.
UACGGGGGGGGCAAGCGUUGUUCGGAAUUACUGGGCGUAAAGGGCUCGUAGGCGGCCAACUAAGUCGGAUGUGAAAUCCCCAGGCUUAACCUGGGAACUGCAUCCGAUACUGGAUGGCUUGAAUCCGGGAGAGGGAUGCAGAAUUCCAGGUGUAGCGGUGAAAUGCGUAGAUAUCAGGAGGAACACCGGUGGCGAAGGCGGUUCUCUGGGCAUUACCUGACGCUGAGGAGCGAAAGUGUGGGGAGCGAACAGG